This 252-nucleotide ribosomal RNA is filed under the name uncultured bacterium. RNAcentral's name for it is "partial 16S ribosomal RNA". It matches the Rfam family "Bacterial small subunit ribosomal RNA", at positions 57 to 305 of the family's 1533-position model. The record is from RNAcentral.
GCAAGUCGAGCGGUAACAGAAAUUAGCUUGCUAAUUUGCUGACGAGCGGCGGACGGGUGAGUAAUGCUUGGGAAUAUGCCUUAGUGUGGGGGAUAACUAUUGGAAACGAUAGCUAAUACCGCAUAAUGUCUUCGGACCAAAGGGGGGGAUCUUCGGACCUCUCGCGUCAAGAUAUGCCUAGGUGGGAUUAGCUAGUUGGUGAGGUAAUGGCUCACCAAGGCGACGAUCCCUAGCUGGUCUGAGAGGAUGAUC